GGGUGGGGGAGGGUAUUGCUGCAGUGGAUCCUGGGCUGGUGGGGGAGGGGUUAGGAACAGCACAGACACUCCUUAAGAAUCUGUCAUGCGAGUCAUAUUAAUGUGUUAGGGAAGAAUACUUUAAACUUUACAUUGAGGUUUCCCUACUGGAAAGGCACCUGGGGGAAGUGGUUCCCCUCUGUAGGUAUUUCUUCAGACUGCCAAAUGAUGUUUUGUUGCAGAGCAAAAACAUCACUCAGCUGCCAGUAGUAACAAUGUUGACCAGGUAGCCACCUACCUCCCAGGAUAAAAUAAAGCUGAGAGUAAGGAAAAGAUGACUUGGAGUAAGCGAGGAGGGAAGAAAAAAUGAAGAGGGGAAAGAAGGACCUUGCUGGUAGAACAAAGCUUUAUGCCUCAUCAUCCAUAUGGUGACCCUGUCCUGUUCCCCCCGCCCCCUCCUCAAUCUGAUCCGGGCAUCACCACCUUGAGGCUGAUCCAGGCACUGCACAGCACACUGAUGCCUUUUUCCAAAAAGGCACGGGGCUGUUCUUUGAAUACUAAACAAUAUCUGCAGGGAGGUCAUCAGGCAUGGCAUCCCCCUCUUUGGGGAAGGUGAUCUUGCUGCCUUCCUUCCAUCUAUGCUUAAUAGGAAUAUACAAGACCUUGCCCUUAGUGUGUACAGUUCACCUAUCAGGAUGGAAGUGCCGCCUCUGAUAUUCACGGCCUUGGUGGAGCCAUGGCUGGUCUCCCCCAGAACACCUGCAGCUCAUGAACCAGAGGCUGUCUCCAUUUGCUCAGUAGAUGUGCUGGACCACUGAUCACAGAGGAACUAGAAGUCAUGAGACAGGAACUUUCCGUCAAUAAACCUUCACAGAAACCUUUUCCCGUUCCUCCUUUCCUUCUUUCCUGUUAUAUGAAAAGAGGUUUCCUUCCUAACCUCAAUGAGUACACUUCCUGAAAUGUCCUUAUUGAGAGAGCUAAACCCUCGUCUUGACGCACUGAGCCCCCUUGCCAGGUAUCCUCUCGUCCCCUCCCUCUCUUUAGGAGGCACCCAGCUUCUUUCAUUAUUUUAAGCUUCUAUUACAGAAAUGUUUAAACAUGCACAAGAGCAGUGGAACUUCCCAUGUACCCCUCACCCCACUUUCACAGUCAUCAUCUGGCACGUGUGAUACGGCCCAUCUCCUACACUACGGUUAAGGGGCAAAAGCCCAUGGGAACAUCCUGCCAUCCGUCUCUCAGGUGUAUGCUUUGUGCCCAUGUCACAGCUCUCACGUUUCUUUGACAUUUACUACCUGUGGAGCUCACUGACCCAAAACAGAUGGACAGAGCCAUGGGGAGGAAACGCACUGAGCUUCAGAUGCUCUGGCCAUGGCCAUCAGUUCUGCUCAGCCCUGUAGUCAAGCCUGAGAAGUCACUGAGUUAACUCCUCCCUCCACCCCACGCAGAAAGGAAUCUUCCUAAGCAAGUGCAGUGCACGGUGUUGCAGUCCCUCAGUCACACAGUGACUGCAGCACGUAGAGAGCACAGAAGGAGAAACCUGUACAUGUGAUAAGGACUUCACAUCACCAUGCAAGUGUUUUCAAAGAUUUAGAAUAAAGUUUCUUUCCUGUAAUACAUUUAAAACGAGCUACUGUAUGAUGAGUUAAACACAGGAGAUCAAACACUUUUUUAUCUCCUCUCCUUCCCCAAAAGUAAAAUAUUACAUGAAAAGAUGCUCCACAUCAUUAGUCACCAGGGAAAUGCAAAUCAAAACCACUGUGAGAUAGCACUUCACACACAGGAUGGCUAGAAUCAAAAAAUUAGAUAAUAGCAAGUGUUAGAAGGCCGAGAAACUGAAACCCUUCUAUGCUGCUGGUCGGUAGGAAAAAUGGUGCAGCUGUUUUGGAAAACCGUCUGGCAGUUCCUCAAAAGUUAAACACAGAAUUACCAUAUUACCUAGAAACUCCACUUCUAGCUAGACACUCAAGAGAAAUGAAAACAUAUGUCCACACAAAAACUUGUACACAAAUGUCCAUAGCAGUAUUAUUCAUAACGGUCAAAAGACGGAAACAACCUAAACGUCCAUCAACUGACGAAUGGGUAAAUAAAUUACGGUAUCUCCACACAAUGUAAUAUUUUUUGGCAAUAAAAAGUACUGAUACAUGCUACAAUAUGCACAAACCCUGACAACAUUACGCAAAAGUGAAAGAGGCCAGUCACAAAUAACCUCAUAUGAUUCCAUUCAUACGAAAUGUCCAGAACAGGGAAAUCUAGAGCGAGAGGAAGUAGACUAGUGGUUGCUUAGGGCUGGGGGGAUGAGAGGACAGGGGCAUGACAGCUAAAGGUUAUGAAGUUUCUUUUUGAAGUCAUGAAAAUGUUUUAAAAUUGACUGUGGUGAUGGUUACCCAUCUGUGAAUAUACUAAAAAUCAUGGAAUUAUACACUUUAAAUGGGUAAGUUGUAUAGUAUGUGAACUAUAUUUCAAUAAAGCUGCUAAAACAAGCAAAGGAUUUAAAAAGAAUAAGGCCCUUGAGGAUGACAAGAAGGGGAGAAGAUAUGACAAAAGAUGUCAACACAUUUUUUGAAGACGGAAAUCCAGUGCAGGAGUGGUAACUGACUAGCAGAGCAGAGGCAAGUGCCGGCAAACCAACUCACGCCACAAAACCCCAGAAGACGGACGACCCAGUGGCACCAGAUAAGGAAGAAAUUAAG
This 2669-nucleotide long non-coding RNA is filed under the name Equus caballus (horse). Its description in RNAcentral is "lncRNA (ENSECAG00000060023.1)". Lineage: Eukaryota; Metazoa; Chordata; Mammalia; Perissodactyla; Equidae. The record is from RNAcentral.